CGUAGGUGCAGGCGUUAAUCGGAAUUACUGGGCGUAAAGCGUGCGCAGGCGGCUCCUUAAGUCAGAUGUGAAAGCCCCGGGCUUAACCUGGGAACUGCGUUUGAAACUGGGGAGCUGGAGUGUAGAAGAGGGGGGUGGAAUUCCAGGUGUAGCAGUGAAAUGCGUAGAGAUCUGGAGGAACACCGAUGGCGAAGGCAGCCCCCUGGGCUAACACUGACGCUCAUGCACGAAAGCGUGGGGAGCAAACAGGAUUAGAUACCCUGGUAGCCCACGCCCUAAACGAUGUCAACUGGUUGUCGGGGGAAGUAAUCCCUUGGUAACGAAGCUAACGCGUGAAGUUGACCGCCUGGGGAGUACGGCCGCAAGGCUA
RNAcentral lists this ribosomal RNA (370 nucleotides) under uncultured organism. Its description in RNAcentral is "bacterial SSU rRNA". It matches the Rfam family "Bacterial small subunit ribosomal RNA", at positions 526 to 896 of the family's 1533-position model. The record is from RNAcentral.